RNAcentral lists this ribosomal RNA (253 nucleotides) under uncultured bacterium. RNAcentral describes it as "partial 16S ribosomal RNA". It matches the Rfam family "Bacterial small subunit ribosomal RNA", at positions 524 to 776 of the family's 1533-position model. The record is from RNAcentral.
UACGUAGGGUGCAAGCGUUGUCCGGAAUUAUUGGGCGUAAAGAGCUCGUAGGCGGUUUGUCGCGUCUGCUGUGAAAACUCGGGGCUUAACCCCGGGCCGGCAGUGGGUACGGGCAGACUAGAGUGCGGUAGGGGAGACUGGAAUUCCUGGUGUAGCGGUGAAAUGCGCAGAUAUCAGGAGGAACACCGGUGGCGAAGGCGGGUCUCUGGGCAGCAACUGACGCUGAGGAGCGAAAGCGUGGGGAGCGAACAGG